This 253-nucleotide ribosomal RNA is filed under the name uncultured bacterium. Its description in RNAcentral is "partial 16S ribosomal RNA". It matches the Rfam family "Bacterial small subunit ribosomal RNA", at positions 524 to 776 of the family's 1533-position model. The record is from RNAcentral.
UACGGGGGGGGCAAGCGUUGUUCGGAAUUACUGGGCGGAAAGGGCUCGUAGGUGGCCAACUAAGUCAGACGUGAAAUCCCCAGGCUCAACUUGGGAACUGCGUCUGAUACUGGAUGGCUUGAAUUCGGGAGAGGGAUGCAGAAUUCCAGGUGUAGCGGUGAAAUGCGUAGAUAUCUGGAGGAAUACCGGUGGCGAAGGCGGCAUCCUGGACCGAGAUUGACACUGAUGAGCGAAAGCUAGGGGAGCAAACGGG